RNAcentral lists this transfer-messenger RNA (361 nucleotides) under Aquabacter sp. L1I39. RNAcentral describes it as "Alphaproteobacteria transfer-messenger RNA". It matches the Rfam family "Alphaproteobacteria transfer-messenger RNA". From Rfam's summary of the family: Bacterial tmRNA, also known as 10Sa RNA or SsrA, is named for its dual tRNA and mRNA-like properties. Lineage: Bacteria; Pseudomonadati; Pseudomonadota; Alphaproteobacteria; Hyphomicrobiales; Xanthobacteraceae. The record is from Rfam by way of RNAcentral.
CCCCUUUCAUCGCAGGCCGGCCCCGCCUAUAUUCAUGGGGCCGGCGCAAGCCGGCUAUGGCGAUAAAUGGUUGUCGUAAUAAGCCUUUCGGACCCGGGGGCAGUACCCGGCGCCUCCACCAGAGCCCGUGAAGCGCACGCGCGCGGGCUCCGGCGGGGGCGAACCAGGAUCGACGAGGGUGUAAAGGGCUUUCUUUCGCUCGGCAUGGUUCCGCCGAUAUCGGGCCGACCUAUAGUUGCGAAUGACAACUAUGCUCCGGUUGCCGUUGCCGCGUGAGCGGUAAAGGUACCGAAAUAAAAGUCCUACCGGGUAGCACUGGCUAGGCGGGGUUCGGAGGCACCUGGCAACAGAAGCCUCCACU